AUUGAACGCUGGCGGAAUGCUUUACACAUGCAAGUCGAACGGCAGCACGGACUUCGGUCUGGUGGCGAGUGGCGAACGGGUGAGUAAUGUAUCGGAACGUGCCCAGUCGUGGGGGAUAACGUAGUGAAAAUUACGCUAAUACCGCAUACGAUCUCUGGAUGAAAGCGGGGGAUCGCAAGACCCCGCGCGAUUGGAGCGGCCGAUAUCAGAUUAGGUAGUUGGUGGUGUAAAGGCCCACCAAGCCAACGAUCUGUAGCUGGUCUGAGAGGACGACCAGCCACACUGGAACUGAGACACGGUCCAGACUCCUACGGGAGGCAGCAGUGGGGAAUUUUGGACAAUGGGCGAAAGCCUGAUCCAGCCAUUCCGCGUGCAGGAUGAAGGCCCUCGGGUUGUAAACUGCUUUUGUACAGAACGAAAAGGUUUCUACUAAUACUAGGAGCUCAUGACGGUACUGUAAGAAUAAGCACCGGCUAACUACGUGCCAGCAGCCGCCGUAA
Molecule: ribosomal RNA, 500 nt
Filed under: uncultured bacterium
Lineage: Bacteria
Description: partial 16S ribosomal RNA
Rfam family: Bacterial small subunit ribosomal RNA
Source: RNAcentral